Molecule: non-coding RNA, 72 nt
Organism: Paramacrobiotus metropolitanus
Lineage: Eukaryota; Metazoa; Tardigrada; Eutardigrada; Parachela; Macrobiotidae
Source: the annotation of a RefSeq genome assembly
GCCCCUGUAGCGCAGUGGAAGCGCGUCGGUCUCCUAAACCGAAGGCCGUGGGUUCGAUCCCCACCAGGGGUG